ACAACGCUACGGCUAGUUAACUGACGUGCAACAGUGGACAAAUCAUCGACAAGCACAUUAAUUGACAGGGAUGUCGCGUUAUAACCAGUCUGAGAGCCAGCAAGCAGCAACACAGGGCACUGGAAAGACUUGGCAGACUUCCCAGCAGCACAGCCUCCUGGGGCUGAUUCAGCCAAUGUUCCCACCCAGGAAUCCUGGAUGUCUGACAGGAAACAGGCCCAACUCUCAAGGACGCUAUAAGUCAGCCUCUCCCCUCUCCCCUCACCCCAAGUCUCCCCCUCACCCGAAAACCUCUCCCAGGGCCAUUCUUUAUGCUUCUCUCAGACAAACUAUCUUACAAACAGACAUUCUUUUUCACCAAACCCCAUUUUCAACCUCCCUACCCUCUGCUAAGCUUCCCAUCAUAGCCCUGUCUUGCUUUAGCCUUUAAGCUAUUGAACAAUUUUAUUAGGUAAGAGAGCAAUGAUUAAUGGCUGAGCAGCAUCUGCAUGUACAAUUUUGUACUUUCAUGAUGAGGCUAGUGUUUUUCUGACCUUGUCAGAGCAUGUUUGGAUUAAAUGCUGCAGUUUGAGUGCUUCUUGUAGGCACAAUAGGGCGACAUCUCAGGACCUGCAGACAAGCCACAGCUGCAAUUAAAUCAGAAUCAAACUCAAGCCCACAAAAUGGAUUCUUUCAGUAUUUCAUUUAUUUUAUAAAAAGGGAAUGCAAUUACAAAAUGUUUAUGUACCUACAUUAGUGUUUCAGAUUGUACCGGUUUAACACAGGCAGCGUGCUACUGGACACACAAGGCUAUUGCACACGAGACAUUUCAUACAACACAAAUCAUACAUACUGUACAAAGAUACAUACAUACAUACAUACUUACAAACAUACAGUUUUUCAUAUAUUUAUCAUAAAAAAAUCAUAGAAUCAGGCAACACGACAAAGUGAUAGGUACAUAGAUUUAAACACCUCUCCAUCUGAAACAAACUGGGGGAAAGCAAACAUCACUGAAGCUGCCAAAGUGCUUUUCACCAUUUCUACUUGGCCAUCUAAAUGUAAAGGUCAAGAAAAAACACAGAGGGAGAGAAGAAUUUUUAAAUGUGUGUCUACAGGAUGAACAUUAGUGUAAGUUUGAACAACAGGAACCGGACAAUGAAAAACAGGACUUCCUAUGGCUGAAGGAAGUUGCAUGUCGUAGGAUGUCAUAGAAUGAGGAUGAAGCUAACCUCCCUGGGAGGCAGAUUCCCCCUGUGCAUUUGAAAAAAAGAAUUUCUCUUAUUUUGUAGGGGAGGCGUGGGGUCUUUGAAAACUGAGAUUAUAUCUUAAAUUGCAUAUGGCAUUAUGGCUCGCAAAUUAAACCAGGAUGUUCACAACAAGUUCUUGUUCAUGGUGCUAUUUAAGACUUCACAGUGAGGGUGACCUACCCUGUGUAUCCCACUCUCCGAUCGUCAGUGACUUGGUAAUUCAAAAUAAUGAUCAAUAAUACUGUCAACAAUGGAGCGCCUGCCCCAAACACUUCAUACAUACAUUCAGCCUAAUUCCCCAAGAGGAAGGCACAAACAGAGACAGCACAUUGCUGCUAUGUUGCUACAACACUGUCAGGACAUUGGUCCCAUUAGUCAAAGCUGCUGGACAGCUGUCAAUGAGUAAAUUUCAUCAGUGCCAACUCACUUCAGGAAAUGUGCUUUCUGAUUAGGCCUUCCUCCACAGAAACUGUUAAGAUACAAAAGACAACAGUAAAAGCAAGAGGGACAGAUUAUGACGGCGAAUGAGGGAAGGGGUGUUAGUGAUGGAAGCUGGAGCUGGAAUAUAUCAUACACAUUAGUGCUUACAAACGAGUUAGAAUUUCAUGCAGUAAAUGUAAGCAGAUUAUGCAAAUUUGUUGUAGUUUAUCAGAUGGUUUAAGCAAGGUUAUAUAGGGAAUAUAUAGCCCUGGUUUUGUUGAAGGAGAACUCGUGGUAGUAUGGCUUCUGUGGAGUGCAGUGUGGAGUGAAGCUGAUCACUGCCUCGGUUCAGUAAGGAAUGAGCGAUGAAUCUGUAGGCCUAAUGUAUACAUAUAUCAGUGAAGGAGAGUAAUGUGGUUCAACCUUACAAAGGAAAACAAUCACUGAAGUAAUCUACAAAGUGCAACUCUGCAAGCUUUGCAUUGACACAGUUCUUGAAAGGCCCAAAACAACUCACCAUAACUAUGAUAUUAUGCAUGCUAUGUUUCCAUUUUUUGGCUUUUAAUAGGGUUUUACAUGUUUAGAAAGAAAAACAAAAUUAAGAUGACAGGCGUAUACAUUUAUACAUUAAAAUGGUUUGCAACUCCAUAUUAAGUGAUGGGAGUACCCAUAAAAAAAAAGCUAUUUUCACAUUUCUGAAAGUUCUCACCCUUUAAAUUGGUUCCCUCUUGAAAGAUUGUGACUUACACCCACUGCUUGGGUGAAUUGAUUAAAUGCUGAUUCUGACUCUUCACACAAAUUUGAUUGUAAUACGAAGAAGUCUGCAUCGUAGAAUGUGUCUCUGCAGACAGCUGUGUCCCAGCCUCGCCAGGCAUCUCAGUCCAGGGUGUGUGCUUGCUUCUCUCUGUCUCAUCACAGCCUCUCAUACUUGAUCUCAUAUACACUCACACUCACACACACACACUCACACACACACACGCAUGCACACACACACACACACACACACACACACACACACACACACACACACACACACACACA
Molecule: long non-coding RNA, 2687 nt
Organism: Seriola aureovittata
Lineage: Eukaryota; Metazoa; Chordata; Actinopteri; Carangiformes; Carangidae
Exons: 2
Source: RefSeq, a predicted model, not a curated record